UGGGGAAUAUUGCACAAUGGGCGCAAGCCUGAUGCAGCCAUGCCGCGUGUGUGAAGAAGGCCUUCGGGUUGUAAAGCACUUUCAGCGGGGAGGAAGGCGAUAAGGUUAAUAACCUCAUCGAUUGACGUUACCCGCAGAAGAAGCACCGGCUAACUCCGUGCCAGCAGCCGCGGUAAUACGGAGGGUGCAAGCGUAAAUCGGAAUUACUGGGCGUAAAGCGCACGCAGGCGGUCUGUCAAGUCGGAUGUGAAAUCCCCGGGCUCAACCUGGGAACUGCAUUCGAAACUGGCAGGCUAGAGUCUUGUAGAGGGGGGUAGAAUUCCAGGUGUAGCGGUGAAAUGCGUAGAGAUCUGGAGGAAUACCGGUGGCGAAGGCGGCCCCCUGGACAAAGACUGACGCUCAGGUGCGAAAGCGUGGGGAGCAAACAGG
This 429-nucleotide ribosomal RNA is filed under the name Chloroflexota bacterium. Its description in RNAcentral is "Chloroflexi bacterium partial 16S ribosomal RNA". It matches the Rfam family "Bacterial small subunit ribosomal RNA", at positions 355 to 776 of the family's 1533-position model. The record is from RNAcentral. Lineage: Bacteria; Bacillati; Chloroflexota.